CAGCAGCCACGGGAAUACGUAGGGUGCAAGCGUUAAUCGGAAUUACUGGGCGUAAAGCGUGCGCAGGCGGUUUGUUAAGACAGAUGUGAAAUCCCCGGGCUCAACCUGGGAACUGCAUUUGUGACUGGCAGGCUAGAGUAUGGCAGAGGGGGGUGGAAUUCCGCGUGUAGCAGUGAAAUGCGUAGAUAUGCGGAGGAACACCGAUGGCGAAGGCAGCCCCCUGGGCCAAUACUGACGCUCAUGCACGAAAGCGUGGGGAGCAAACAGGAUUAGAUACCCCUGUAGUCCCUGUCUCUUAUAC
This 301-nucleotide ribosomal RNA is filed under the name uncultured bacterium. RNAcentral describes it as "partial 16S ribosomal RNA". It matches the Rfam family "Bacterial small subunit ribosomal RNA", at positions 509 to 807 of the family's 1533-position model. The record is from RNAcentral.